Molecule: ribosomal RNA, 255 nt
Filed under: Enterococcus faecium
Lineage: Bacteria; Bacillati; Bacillota; Bacilli; Lactobacillales; Enterococcaceae
Description: partial 23S ribosomal RNA
Rfam family: Bacterial large subunit ribosomal RNA
Source: RNAcentral
UGAGUGAUAAGAUCCAUAGUCGAAAGGGAAACAGCCCAGACCACCAGCUAAGGUCCCAAAAUAUAUGUUAAGUGGAAAAGGAUGUGGGGUUGCACAGACAACUAGGAUGUUGGCUUAGAAGCAGCCAUCAUUUAAAGAGUGCGUAAUAGCUCACUAGUCGAGUGACCCUGCGCCGAAAAUGUACCGGGGCUAAACAUAUUACCGAAGCUGUGGAGUACACCUUUAGGUGUAUUGGUAGGAGAGCGUUCUAAGGGC